GACAGAGGCCUCGAGCGUUAGGCGGAAUCACUGGGCUUAAAGCGUGUGUAGGCGGACCCCUAAGUACCUUGUGAAAUCCCACGGCUCACCCGUGGAACCGCUGGGUAUACUGGGGGUCUUGGGCCACUCAGGGGCGACUGGAACAAGCGGUGGAGCGGUGAAAUGCGUAGAUAUCGGAAGGAACGCCGGUGGCGAAAGCGGCGUGCUGGACCCUUUCUGACGCUGAGGCGCGAAAGCCAGGGGAGCGAACGGG
Molecule: ribosomal RNA, 253 nt
Filed under: uncultured bacterium
Lineage: Bacteria
Description: partial 16S ribosomal RNA
Rfam family: Bacterial small subunit ribosomal RNA
Source: RNAcentral